Molecule: long non-coding RNA, 426 nt
Filed under: Glycine max (soybean)
Lineage: Eukaryota; Viridiplantae; Streptophyta; Magnoliopsida; Fabales; Fabaceae
Description: long non-coding RNA (GMAX_LNC002105)
Source: RNAcentral
GAUCUUGUACCAUUGUAUUUUGUUGGAUGACUCUAAAUGAGUUGCUUUCGGGGAUUUUAGUUUGAAGAUCAAGCAAGCUCUCCGAUAUCUCGUAGCUCAUAGAUCUUCAAUCAAAAUCUACAAUCAAGAUCUCCGACAUCUAUACGGUUAAAGAGAAUGUUUUGAGGAUUAAUUUCUCCAAAAUAUUUGCAAGUGAGCUAUCAUCACCGUAAUCAAACUGGAGUCCACCAUUUCUUGAACAUUCACAAAGUGGAAUAGUCUUAUAUAUUGGAGUUUGAAGACCUUUUACGCAACACGAAGAAUAUAACCGCAGCAAGAGUUAUUGAAGUUUGCUUCACUCUUUGAGUCCACCAUUUCUGGAACUGCAGCAAUUAAUAGCGCUAUAUGAGAAGCCUCGCAUAGUGAAAUAGUCUCAAUGAAAUUUGU